This 1888-nucleotide unclassified non-coding RNA is filed under the name Homalodisca vitripennis (glassy-winged sharpshooter). Its description in RNAcentral is "3-ketoacyl-CoA thiolase, mitochondrial-like, transcript variant X2". The record is from RNAcentral. Lineage: Eukaryota; Metazoa; Arthropoda; Insecta; Hemiptera; Cicadellidae.
UGUUUUGUUUCCACCAACCAGCACCAGUUUAACUUUGUUGAUUCACGAAUGUCAUUCUCAACUUUGACACUGAAAGCUGAAGGGUUCAUAUUCCAUAGUACUGACCUUUUAACCCAUUUAGAAAUUAGAACUUGAGUCGUGUUAUUUUUGUUUACUGUUGAACCUUUCCCUUUGAACCCUUAUCUCGAAAAUAGUGGGAGGUAAACUGGACUUAUAUCAGUGUAUUUAUUCUGAGUUCGACCCUUUAUUCUGUGUAAAAUUAUAUCUUCUCAAUUUAACAGUUUUUAGUAGGUUUUCUAGUUAGAAGUUUUUUAGAGUUUCAUAGUGAAUUAGUGGCACGUUUUAUACAAAAAAGAAUUAGAAAAUAUUCUACCUCACUUUAAAGAUGACGUCUCUUACUAAAGGAAUAUUUAUUGUAGCAGCUAAACGUACUCCUUUCGGGACAUACGGUGGGAAAUUUGUUAAGACAAGUGCCCUAGAACUACAGGAAGUUGCAGCAAAAUCGGCUCUCACCUCUGCCAAUAUAAAACCGGAAAUUGUGGACUCUGUGGUGAUAGGCAAUGUGCUGGCUAAUACCUCUUCAGACUCCAUCUUUCUUCCUCGUCAUCUUCUCCUACGGUGUGGGAUCAGUUUAGACAAGCCUGCCCUAGGAGUGAACAGACUUUGUGGUUCUGGCUUCCAAGCUGUAGUCAAUGGUGCUCAGAACAUUCUCUGUGGAGACUCGCAAGUAGUGUUGACAGGUGGGGUGGAUAACAUGAGCCAGGCGCCCCACGCUGUUCGGAACAUCAGGUUUGGUGUGCCUCUUGGUUCUACUCCUGAAUUGGAGGACACACUGUGGGUGGGGCUGACCGACACCUACUGCAAGCUGCCGAUGGCUCUCACUGCAGAAAAGCUUGCUUCUCAGUACAAGAUAUCUCGCGGAGAGGUUGACCAGUUUGCACUUAGAUCACAGACACUGUGGAAGAAAGCUCAUGAUGCUGGGGUAUUCAAGGCUGAACUGGCCCCAGUGACAGUGGUCCAGAAGAAGAAGGAAGUUGUUGUGGAUGUUGACGAGCAUCCAAAGCCUCAGACCACUCUUGAGGUGCUUGGCAAACUCCCAUUGGUCUUCAAGAAAGAUGGUGUUGUGACAGCGGGUUCUGCUUCAGGCAUCUGUGACGGUGCGGGAGCAGUGGUGUUGGCGAGUGAGGAGGCCUGCAAACAGCAUGGACUGACACCACUGGCUAGACUUGUGGGCUACUCAGUGGUAGGAGUUGAGCCGAGCAUCAUGGGUAUUGGACCGGCCCCCGCCAUUCAGAACCUGCUCAAGGCGGCUGGCAAAUCACUCAAUGAUAUUGACUUAGUUGAGAUCAAUGAGGCAUUUGGUGCCCAAACUUUGGCAUGCCAGAAGGAGUUAAAGCUGGACAUUGAGAAGCUUAAUUUAAAUGGAGGAGCCAUUGCUCUAGGGCACCCUCUCGCAGCCUCUGGGGCCAGGAUCACGGGUCAUCUCGUUCAUGAGCUCAGGCAAACCACACAGCUGUUCUCAUCCACAAACUGAUGAAUGAAGAUCUCCCUACUGGCACUAUGGAAGAGUUGCAAUUGUUUUCGUACCAGUUACUUCACCAAAAAGUACACUUCUCAGUCUGUGGAUUCUUUAAUCUAGAUUUCACUCUUCUAAAUGGCGUAAUAGCAUCAGUAGCAACAUACCUAGUGAUUCUCAUACAGUUUCAGAUGUGAACUACUACUAGUUCCUCAGUUAGUUGAAUUUAAGAGUAAUUAUUAGGUUGUAACUGUGUAUUAAUUGCAAGGUUCAUGCUAACCAACCUCUGCUUUGUCUCUAAAAAUACUCAAUUAACCAUAAUGAAAAAUAUAUGUACCAAAAAGUAUGGUGAAUUAAAAGUCAUUGAAGGUG